GACACUGAAACAGAAAGGAAAGGAAGUCAUUAUAGUUGAUGAACAAGAAGAUGCCAGUGGCCUGAGCAGUAACGGGGAACCAGCCUCCAGGUAAAAGAACUGCCAUUUUUGUUGCCUGUUCUGAUCACAUAUAAAUAUGAAGGAUCUGCUGUGUCUCUACAAAGCAAUGAUGAGAGAACAAUCACCAGACUGAGCCUUUGUGAUGUGUCCUGCCAGGCGCUCUGUUUUAUCAUUGCUACUCUUCACAGCUACGGGAUAAAAACCGAGAACCCUGGACCAGGGCUAAGCGAAACUGAGAGAAAUCCAACACAGGAAUCUUCCUGAAAAAAGAGUGGAGGUGCACGUACCUACAUACACAUACUGAGAUCAGUAAGAAUAACUUAGAAUCAUGGACUUUGAGAACCAGAUA
Balaenoptera acutorostrata (minke whale) is the source of this 409-nucleotide long non-coding RNA. RefSeq lists it as uncharacterized. NCBI's taxonomy places the organism in Eukaryota, Metazoa, Chordata, Mammalia, Artiodactyla, Balaenopteridae. The transcript has 4 exons. The record is from RefSeq and is a predicted model, not a curated record.